This 934-nucleotide long non-coding RNA is filed under the name Solanum tuberosum (potato). RNAcentral describes it as "long non-coding RNA (STUB_LNC003617)". Lineage: Eukaryota; Viridiplantae; Streptophyta; Magnoliopsida; Solanales; Solanaceae. The record is from RNAcentral.
AGGGAAUGAAAACAAACUGAAGCAGUCUAAUUCAGGGGUAGUAACAUCACAACUAAAGAGUAAUAGCAUAACAUACAAAGACAUCUCUACGUUGUCUUGCACGAUACAUGCAACAGCAAAGUUGGCGCUAUAAUCCAUUGAGCUGAAAUACGAUGUUUGGCAGCUCAGGUCCAGAAUCUAAAUAGACAAAAUGUAUUGCCAAACUGAAGUAGCUUUAUUCAGGGGUUGUAGCAUCACAACUAAAGAGUAAUAACAUAACAUACAAAGACAUCUCUACGUUGUCUUGCACAAUUCAUGCGACAGCAAAGUUGGCACUAUAAUCCAUUGAGCUGAAAUACGAUGUUUGGCAGCUCAGCUCCAGAAUCUAAAUAGACAGAAUGUAUUGCCUACAAAUGAUGAUUAUGAAAAAGGAAGAAACUAAAUAACGAUGACAUCCUCAUCUGGAUGAUUUUCCGGUGCGCCUUGACCUCUUGCCCUCAUCCCAGGCUCCAUAUCAACACCAUCAUGAUUGCUCCCCAGCAGAUCGUUCUUAUGGAAGAAUGGUGGUUCCCCACCUAAUCAUAUAAAAAUAAAUUAUUAUAACCAAAAAAGAACAGAAGAUAUAGAUAUAUGGCUUUCAAAAUCAAGCAAAUAUUUUGGUAGUGCAUUCAACAGUUGUCAGAAGGAGGGUCAAUCAAAGAACACAAUUUCCAUUGUUGCAUCUUCCAAGAUUUACACAAAUCUGCUCAUUGGAUUCACUACUAAGCGAAUAUGGACAGAUGGAAAACUCUUGUACGACUUAAAACUUCUGUUGACCAUGGAUUUUUAAGAACAUAACAAUGCAUGUAUUUUUGCUAGACUAUUAAUAAUUCUUACAAUGAAUUGAAUCAGGACAUCACGAUCCACUUCUCUAGUCAAAUCACUCAUCACUGUCAGAAAAGCCGGAUUGACUUUC